This 73-nucleotide transfer RNA is filed under the name Microcaldota archaeon. Its description in RNAcentral is "tRNA-Pro". It matches the Rfam family "tRNA". Rfam says of the family: Transfer RNA (tRNA) molecules are approximately 80 nucleotides in length. Their secondary structure includes four short double-helical elements and three loops (D, anti-codon, and T loops). The record is from RNAcentral. Lineage: Archaea; Nanobdellati; Microcaldota.
GGGGCGUUAGUCUAGUCUGGUAGGAUUCGUGCUUUGGGAGCAUGUGACGGGGGUUCAAAUCCUCCACGCCCCA